AGCCAUGCACAGGCAGCGUUGAGAGGAAGAACGCUCCUCCUGUUCUACCCCCUCUAACCUGUCAACAUACAUUCCCCCCCCCGUGGGCGCCCCCCCCACAAGACACCUCUUUGGCUCAGCUGUAUGGGCUCUGCUGUUUGGAAUGGAUUCUCCUUCCAGCCAGCCAGCCCUUUGGACUUGCGUGUCUCUGUCUGCGUAUCUCGUGUCCCAUCGGCCGAAACAGGCUCUCGACUUUUUCCAAACUAACCUCCCAAGACUGUCCCUCUUCCUCACAGCCACAAUGGUGGCCUGUCGGAACGCAAAGGGAAGAGUCGGGACAAACCAAAGGCCACGGCAGAGGCCACGGCCCUCUUUUCCACCCCACCUGCCACCCCUACCUGUGCCAGUUCUGCUCCACCCAAGCCCCAUACGGUCCAAGAGGCUGCUGGCUGGCGACUCCAGCGUCACAACGGCAGCAGGAGACCCUCUCGCGCGCGGCUCUUCUCCUCCGAGCCCUGGUUGUUCUGGGUCCCCUCCUGCCGUGAGAGGCUUCAGCCACAGACGGGCUUCCUUCCACAAAGCCCAGUUCCCAGCCUUUCCACGGACGCGCUACCCCACUCCUCCAGCUCCCAGGGCCCCUUCCCCAAAGGGCUCUCCCUCCGCCCCCUCCUCCAUGAUGAUCCCUUACCUUCCUUGCUGCUCCUCACCACAGGAAAGCUUGGGCGCCUCUCUGAGCAGCUUCUGUCUUCGCCACCGGCAGAGGGGGUGCCCCUGGGGAGCCCUGCUCCCCGCCCAGGCAGAGACGAUGGCACCAGGCAGCAGGGAGAGCUGGGAUGGGGGCAAGGAGAAGCUGUGCCACCCCUGGACGCUCUGGGCAACAAACACGCUCCCCAUUUGGGCCCCUGGCGAGGAAGGCAGGUGGGCACAAACCCUGGCCUUUAGCCUCUCUGUCCCUGAAAGCACGUCCAGUGGCUUUCUCAAAGGGAGCAAAAGCCAACAGCCACUCACACCUCCGAAGGAGGCAGCCCCAGAGCUAGAACUGGGUUUGACUGCUGAGAAAAGGCGAGGCAGCAGCCCCUGAAAACAGCCCCCUUCCUGCCAGGCCUGCUGGCUUUGCACGCACCGAGGGGCUCCCUCGGUUUAUCAAAAGCCUCGGCCAGAAGGCUCAGGC
RNAcentral lists this long non-coding RNA (1150 nucleotides) under Pogona vitticeps (central bearded dragon). RNAcentral describes it as "lncRNA (ENSPVIG00000016222.1)". The record is from RNAcentral. Lineage: Eukaryota; Metazoa; Chordata; Lepidosauria; Squamata; Agamidae.